ACAUAUGACCACAGGGUGUGGAAAACAGGGCUUCCCGUCCGCUCAGCCGUACUUAAGCCACACGCCGGGAGGUUAGUAGUUGGGUGGGUGACCACCAGCGAAUCCCUUCUGUUGUAUGUU
RNAcentral lists this ribosomal RNA (120 nucleotides) under Aspergillus niger. The record is from RNAcentral. Lineage: Eukaryota; Fungi; Ascomycota; Eurotiomycetes; Eurotiales; Aspergillaceae.